Molecule: ribosomal RNA, 1188 nt
Filed under: uncultured bacterium
Lineage: Bacteria
Description: bacterial SSU rRNA
Rfam family: Bacterial small subunit ribosomal RNA
Source: RNAcentral
AGAGGGGGACUGAGAUACGGCCCCCACUCCUACGGGAGGCAGCAGCAGGGAAUCUUGCGCAAUGGGCUAAAAGGCCUGACGCAGCGACACCGCGUGGGGGAAGAAUGCCUUAGGGUUGUAAACCCCUUUUCUCGGGGAAGAGUGAGGACGGUACCCGAGGAAUAAGCCUCGGCUAACUACGUGCCAGCAGCCGCGGUAAUACGUAGGAGGCGAGCGUUGUCCGGAUUUACUGGGCGUAAAGGGCGAGUAGGCGGCUUGUUAAGUCUCAUGUGAAAUCUCCCGGCUCAACUGGGAGGGGUCAUGGGAAACUGGCAGGCUUGAGGGCAGCAGAGGAAAGUGGAAUUCCCGGAGUAGUGGUGAAAUGCGUAGAUACCGGGAGGAACACCAGAGGCGAAGGCGGCUUUCUGGGCUGUACCUGACGCUGAGGCGCGAAAGCGUGGGGAGCAAACCGGAUUAGAUACCCGGGUAGUCCAUGCCCUAAACGAUGGAUACUAGGUAUGGGGGGUAUCGACCCCCUCCGUGCCGUAGCUAACGCGAUAAGUAUCCCGCCUGGGGAGUACGGCCGCAAGGCUAAAACUCAAAGGAAUUGACGGGGGCCCGCACAAGCAGCGGAGCGUGUGGUUUAAUUCGAUGAUAAGCGAAGAACCUUACCAGGGCUUGACAUGCUUCUGAAAUCCCGUGAAAGCGGGGCCUCCUUCGGGACAGUUGCACAGAUGUUGCAUGGCUGUCGUCAGCUCGUGCCGUGAGGUGUUGGGUUAAGUCCCGCAACGAGCGCAACCCUUGUCGUUAGUUGUAUUUUUCUAGCGAGACUGCCCCUAAAAAAGGGGAGGAAGGUGGGGAUGACGUCAAGUCAGCACGGCUCUUACGCCCUGGGCUACACACACGCUACAAUGGCCGGUACAGAGGGUUGCCAAGGAGCAAUCCGGAGCUAAUCCCAAAAAGCCGGCCCCAGUUGGGAUUGCAGGCUGAAACCCGCCUGCAUGAACGUGGAGCUGCUAGUAACCGCAGGUCAGCACACUGCGGUGAAUACGUUCCCGGGCCUUGUACACACCGCCCGUCACGUCAUGGAAGUCGGCAACACUUGAAGUCGCUGGGCCAACCCCGAUUCGUUGGGGAGGCAGGCGCCGAGGGUGGGGUCGGUGACUGGGACGAAGUCGUAACAAGGUAGCUGUACCGGAAGGUGCGGCU